Molecule: ribosomal RNA, 118 nt
Filed under: Exiguobacterium sp. SH3S2
Lineage: Bacteria; Bacillati; Bacillota; Bacilli; Caryophanales
Also listed under: 1 other name
Description: partial 16S ribosomal RNA
Rfam family: Bacterial small subunit ribosomal RNA
Source: RNAcentral
AAGUCGGUGAGGUAACCGCAAGGAGCCAGCCGCCGAAGGUGGGACAGAUGAUUGGGGUGAAGUCGUAACAAGGUAGCCGUAUCGGAAGGUGCGGCUGGAUCACCUCCUUUCUAAGGAA